Non-coding RNA from Caenorhabditis elegans, 223 nucleotides. Lineage: Eukaryota; Metazoa; Nematoda; Chromadorea; Rhabditida; Rhabditidae. The record is from Ensembl.
AAUAAAAACCUCGGUUUCAAAGCGUUUUCACUGCGUCAAGCAAGUCUUGAAAAUUACACUAUCAUAAAUGACAAAAAAUACUUCGUUUUAAGUAUUAUUGAUAAGAAUUUUUGAGAAUGGUUUUUUAUCGGAGGAAAAUAAAACGUUUUAAAGGAGAAAAUUGUGAUUUCCAUUGUUUUUGCUUAAAGUAAAAAAAAAAGUAUUUUUCUCAUUUGAAAUAAUU